AAGUCGUAACAAGGUUUCCGUAGGUGAACCUGCGGAAGGAUCAUUAACACUUCGUUAAUUUCCAAACCAACCAACUGUGAACCGUAGCGUCCCUAUUCAUUACAUUAGUAGUGAGUAGACAAUACCCUCUCUAGUAGUUGUCAUAUGCUACAGACUAAGCAAUUAGUUUGUAGCCUAUGAUGAUGAACUAUUAACCAAUUUUCACCCUAUAACUUGAAUUGUCUAAUCUUCAUAGAACUUUUUCUCGAAAGGGAGGAAGCUUUUACGAAAUAUUGAACAACUCUUAGCAAUGGAUAUCUUGGGUCGUAU
Molecule: unclassified non-coding RNA, 309 nt
Filed under: fungal sp.
Lineage: Eukaryota; Fungi
Description: partial internal transcribed spacer region
Rfam family: Eukaryotic small subunit ribosomal RNA (bases 1-46)
Source: RNAcentral